Molecule: non-coding RNA, 435 nt
Organism: Pelobates cultripes (western spadefoot toad)
Lineage: Eukaryota; Metazoa; Chordata; Amphibia; Anura; Pelobatidae
Source: the annotation of a GenBank genome assembly
CACAAUGACACACAUAAACAUACCCAAUGAGAAAACACUGGCACACAUAGAUACAGACACACAGACUGACACAUAAUGUACAGACAGGCAAAAACACUUUCACACAUGCAGAUACACUGAUGUAAACACUGACACACAUACAGUUGAACAGACACAUUGAUGCACAUACUUGCAUACAUGCAUAUACCCACACUGACAUACAUAUAUUUGCACGGACAUACUUAUACACACACUAACACAUAUACAAAUGUAAAAACACAUAGGUACAAACACUGCCACACCUGCAGACAAACAGAUGGCAACACUACUAUACAUACAGUUUAACAGACAUGCUGAUAAACACACUGCCACACAUGUGUUAUGGACAGAUGAAUUAAAAUAAAAUGGCUAUUUACUAAUGUCUAUUUAUUCUGUGUUCACUAUGUUAAAACUGGC